RNAcentral lists this ribosomal RNA (467 nucleotides) under uncultured bacterium. RNAcentral's name for it is "partial 16S ribosomal RNA". It matches the Rfam family "Bacterial small subunit ribosomal RNA", at positions 329 to 794 of the family's 1533-position model. The record is from RNAcentral.
UUCCAGACUCCUACGGGAGGCAGCAGUGAGGAAUAUUGGUCAAUGGGCGGGAGCCUGAACCAGCCAAGUCGCGUGAAGGAAGAAGGUACUUAGUAUUGUAAACUUCUUUUGUCGGGGAACAAAGGCGGAGACGCGUCUCCGGAUGAGUGUACCCGAAGAAAAAGCAUCGGCUAACUCCGUGCCAGCAGCCGCGGUAAUACGGAGGAUGCGAGCGUUAUCCGGAUUUAUUGGGUUUAAAGGGUGCGCAGGCGGAAUGUCAAGUCAGCGGUAAAAUUUCGGGGCUCAACCCCGUCGUGCCGUUGAAACUGGCGUUCUUGAGUGAGCGAGAAGUAUGCGGAAUGCGUGGUGUAGCGGUGAAAUGCAUAGAUAUCACGCAGAACUCCGAUUGCGAAGGCAGCAUACCGGCGCUCAACUGACGCUCAUGCACGAAAGCGUGGGUAUCGGACAGGAUUAGAUACCCGAGUAUU